AUGGCCGCGGUGGUCCGGAGCGUGUGGCAGGGCAUCAGGGAGAAGGGCCUCACCAACUUCCUCCGCCACGCCCGCGAAGAGGGAUACCUAAAAUGCCUUGGGGACGGAAACCUAUUGCAAACCAAAAUUCACAACAUUGGUGCAACCCUUGUAGGAGUUGACACUUUUGGAAACAAGUACUAUGAGAAACUACAUGACACUCAGUAUGGAAGGCAUAGGUGGGUAGAGUAUGCGGACAAGGGUCGCUACAAUGCAUCCCAAGUGCCUGCUGAAUGGCAUGGAUGGCUGCACCACAUUACAGACAGCACUGGAGAUAAGCUGCUGGAGGAGAAGACUAAAAAGUUCAUUAGGGAGCACAGACAGAACUACACCGGACAGGGUGACGACUUGAUCUACCACUCCAAGGGGCAUGCUCUGAACCCAGGGCAAAGGGACUGGACAAGGUACCAGCCUUGGGAACCAAAGAAAGAAGAGGCCACCUGA
RNAcentral lists this ribosomal RNA (483 nucleotides) under Triticum aestivum (bread wheat). RNAcentral describes it as "partial small subunit ribosomal RNA". Lineage: Eukaryota; Viridiplantae; Streptophyta; Magnoliopsida; Poales; Poaceae. The record is from RNAcentral.